RNAcentral lists this small RNA (161 nucleotides) under uncultured Acetatifactor sp. RNAcentral's name for it is "Clostridiales-1 RNA". It matches the Rfam family "Clostridiales-1 RNA". Lineage: Bacteria; Bacillati; Bacillota; Clostridia; Lachnospirales; Lachnospiraceae. The record is from RNAcentral.
GAUACCAGGGUCCCAAGGUCUUUACACACUUGAGCUUGCUCAUAUGUGGGUAAAAGACCUUGGGACCCGCCAAAAUAUGAGCAUAAAAGUGGGACAGCAGUCCCGCCAUAUGCGAAUAUUUUGUAGGAUUGUGAGAGUACGAAGUACAAACAAUCCGUAGG